CCCUUAGAUGUUCUGGGCUGCACGCGCGCUACACUGAUGCGAUCAACAAGUUUUUCCUAUGUCGAUAGACACGGGUAAUCUUUUGAACUCGCAUCGUGAUGGGGAUAGAUUAUUGUAAUUAUUAAUCUUCAACGAGGAAUUCCUAGUAGGUGCAAAUCAUCAGUUUGCAUCGAUUACGUCCCUGCCCUUUGUACACACCGCCCGUCGCUGCUACCGAUUGGUUGAUCUGGUGAAUUAUUCGGACUGCCGGCUGAAGGGGUUUCCUCAUCCGCCAGCGGAAAGUCUUGUUAACCCUAUCAACUAGAGGAAGCAGAAGUCGUAACA
This 324-nucleotide ribosomal RNA is filed under the name uncultured eukaryote. Its description in RNAcentral is "partial 18S ribosomal RNA". It matches the Rfam family "Eukaryotic small subunit ribosomal RNA", at positions 1470 to 1796 of the family's 1831-position model. The record is from RNAcentral.